UCUAAGGCAGAUGGCACUGUUGGUUACAACAGCUGCAACUGAAAAUCCAGGAGAAACAGGGGUAGCUGACAAAUAUUUAAAGAUUGCUACCAGCUGUUGAGCCCAAACGAUAUCUCCUUCUCUACCAAGGAGAGAAAGCUUUGCGCAGGGACUCCUUUACCUUCUCUUCAUCAUUUCAUGGCAAAGAUGCUAUUUAGACACUGCUAGAAGGACCAAACUCCUGAAUGUCAGCAGUGUGUUAUCCUGCAGCAAGAUCCUUAAGUCCUGAUGGAUUUGCAGCCUCCUCUCAAUUUCUUUUCUAAAGCAGCUAAAGGUGAUGACUAAAUAUGUCGUUGAAUUCGUCCAUGUGAAUCCUAAUAAGUACAUCAGAGCACAAAGGGAUAUCCGAGGACAGUGCUGGUCACUGGCAAGAGUGAGGCAGGUACUGCAGUGUGCCAAGGGACAGGCUGUGCGAUGCUGCCUGCUAGGGCAGCAAACUUCGAUCUGUGUUGUCUUCCUCUGUACCUGAUCACAGCAAGUGAAGGAGAGCGUGGGGUACCAAGCCCGGGUGGGCUGUACCUACCUGGUGGUCACCUGCCACUGCCAUUACUGCCUGCCCGC
This 600-nucleotide long non-coding RNA is filed under the name Anser brachyrhynchus (Pink-footed goose). RNAcentral describes it as "lncRNA (ENSABRG00000004643.1)". The record is from RNAcentral. Lineage: Eukaryota; Metazoa; Chordata; Aves; Anseriformes; Anatidae.